AACGCACGAGACCUGCGGACCUGCGGAGGGAUCAUUAAUGAGAAACUGCCCCUCGCGGGUAGAUCUCCCACCCUUUGUAAACUUACCUUUGUUGCUUUGGCGGGCCCGUCUCCGGACCGCCGGCUUCGGCUGGCCAGUGCCUGCCAGAGGAUUCUAAAACUCUGUCUGUCAGUGUUGUCUGAGUCUAUAUACAAUCGUUAAAACUUUCAACAACGGAUCUCUAGAUCGGAAGAGCACACG
Molecule: unclassified non-coding RNA, 240 nt
Filed under: soil metagenome
Description: partial contains 5.8S ribosomal RNA, internal transcribed spacer 2, and large subunit ribosomal RNA
Source: RNAcentral